This 305-nucleotide ribosomal RNA is filed under the name uncultured bacterium. RNAcentral describes it as "bacterial SSU rRNA". It matches the Rfam family "Bacterial small subunit ribosomal RNA", at positions 337 to 641 of the family's 1533-position model. The record is from RNAcentral.
GCCUACGGGGGGCAGCAGUGGGGAAUAUUGCACAAUGGGGGAAACCCUGAUGCAGCGACGCCGCGUGAGUGAAGAAGUAUUUCGGUAUGUAAAGCUCUAUCAGCAGGGAAGAAAUACUGACCUUACGGUCAGCAGACGGUACCUGACUAAGAAGCCCCGGCUAACUACGUGCCAACAGCCGCGGUAAUACGUAGGGGGCAAGCGUUAUCCGGAUUUACUGGGUGUAAAGGGAGCGUAGACGGCGAAGCAAGUCUGAAGUGAAAACCCAGGGCUCAACCCUGGGACUGCUUUGGAAACUGUUUUGC